CCUACGGGAGGCAGCAGUGAGGAAUAUUGGUCAAUGGGCUUACGCCUGAACCAGCCAAGUCGCGUGUGGGAAGAAUGCCCUAUGGGUUGUAAACCUCUUUAGUCAGGGAGCAAUUGGCGCUACGUGUAGCGUUAUCGAUAGUACCUAAAGAAAAAGCAUCGGCUACCUCCGUGCCAGCAGCCGCGGUAAUACGGGGGAUGCGAGCGUUAUCCGAAUUGAUUGGGUUUAAAGGGUGCGUAGGCGGAAUGCCAAGUCAGCGGUAAAAUCGCGGGGCUCAACCGCGCUCCGCCGUUGAAACUGGCGUUCUUGAGUGGGCGAGAAGGAUGCGGAAUGCGUGGUGUAGCGGUGAAAUGCAUAGAUAUCACGCAGAACUCCGAUUGCGAAGGCAGCAUACCGGCGCCCAACUGACGCUGAAGCACGAAAGCGUGGGUAUCGAACAGGAUUAGAUACCCCAGUAGUC
RNAcentral lists this ribosomal RNA (460 nucleotides) under uncultured bacterium. RNAcentral's name for it is "partial 16S ribosomal RNA". It matches the Rfam family "Bacterial small subunit ribosomal RNA", at positions 338 to 795 of the family's 1533-position model. The record is from RNAcentral.